GGUUAUGGCUCAGCGGUAGAGCGCUCGCCUCGCAAGUGCAAGGUCUUGGGUUCGAUACUCAGCACCA
RNAcentral lists this transfer RNA (67 nucleotides) under Marmota monax (woodchuck). Its description in RNAcentral is "tRNA.Ala". The record is from RNAcentral. Lineage: Eukaryota; Metazoa; Chordata; Mammalia; Rodentia; Sciuridae.